RNAcentral lists this ribosomal RNA (404 nucleotides) under uncultured bacterium. RNAcentral describes it as "bacterial SSU rRNA". It matches the Rfam family "Bacterial small subunit ribosomal RNA", at positions 355 to 774 of the family's 1533-position model. The record is from RNAcentral.
UGGGGAAUAUUGGGCAAUGGGGGAAACCCUGACCCAGCGACGCCGCGUGAGGGAUGAAGGUUUUCGGAUUGUAAACCUCUGUCUUCAGGGACGAAAAAAUGACGGUACCUGAGGAGGAAGCCACGGCUAACUACGUGCCAGCAGCCGCGGUAAUACGUAGGUGGCAAGCGUUGUCCGGAAUCAUUGGGCGUAAAGCGUUCGUAGGCGGUAUGUCAAGUCUGGUGUUAAAGCCCGAGGCUCAACCUCGGUUCGGCAUUGGAUACUGGCAAACUAGAAUGUGGUAGAGGUAAAGGGAAUUCCUGGUGUAGCGGUGAAAUGCGUAGAUAUCAGGAGGAACAUCGGUGGCGAAAGCGCUUUACUGGACCAUUAUUGACGCUGAGGAACGAAAGCCAGGGGAGCAAAUG